UACAGAGGUCUCAAGCGUUGUUCGGAUUCAUUGGGCGUAAAGGGUGCGUAGGCGGCGCGGUAAGUCGGGUGUGAAAUCUUGGAGCUUAACUCCGAAACUGCAUUCGAUACUGCCGUGCUUGAGGACUGGAGAGGAGACUGGAAUUUACGGUGUAGCGGUGAAAUGCGUAGAUAUCGUAAGGAAGACCAGUGGCGAAGGCGGGUCUCUGGACAGUUCCUGACGCUGAGGCACGAAGGUCAGCGGAGCAAACGGG
Molecule: ribosomal RNA, 253 nt
Filed under: uncultured bacterium
Lineage: Bacteria
Description: partial 16S ribosomal RNA
Rfam family: Bacterial small subunit ribosomal RNA
Source: RNAcentral